This 22-nucleotide microRNA is filed under the name Euprymna scolopes. RNAcentral's name for it is "Esc-Mir-12518_5p (mature (guide))". RNAcentral also lists the same sequence under 1 other name. The record is from RNAcentral. Lineage: Eukaryota; Metazoa; Mollusca; Cephalopoda; Sepiida; Sepiolidae.
UAUUAGAAAGUCGUAAGUGUCA